CCCAAAAUAGCUAGUACGUACGUGUGCGUAUCAUUCUUUCUAAGCCAUAUCUUAACCUCUCUCUUUUAUUAACUCAGCUUUUCCUUCUUUUUAAUUUUCGACCUCACCAUGCCCUUACUCUCUUUCUUGUGUGUACUCCACAUAUCCCAAUCCUUUUUUUUUCCAAUCCUUACUUAGUUGAAGUUCCAAAAUGUGCGGGA
RNAcentral lists this long non-coding RNA (200 nucleotides) under Brachypodium distachyon (stiff brome). RNAcentral's name for it is "long non-coding RNA (BDIS_LNC002628)". The record is from RNAcentral. Lineage: Eukaryota; Viridiplantae; Streptophyta; Magnoliopsida; Poales; Poaceae.